Molecule: long non-coding RNA, 379 nt
Organism: Alligator mississippiensis (American alligator)
Lineage: Eukaryota; Metazoa; Chordata; Crocodylia; Alligatoridae
Exons: 3
Source: RefSeq, a predicted model, not a curated record
CUUUCCUUACUAAAAUUCCUUUCAUUGGGGCUGACUCUAAGGCUGGCUCAGCAGUCACCUUAAAAAUAGAAGAAGAAAGCAUGCUACAAAUCAGUGGUCACCAACCGGUCAAUCAAGAUCAAUCAGUGGAUAACGGAGCCUCUCGAAGUCAGUCCUGAGCUGUAGGGGCUGAAUGGGGCAGUCUGCUGGAGAAAUGACGACUGGGGCACAAAAGCAGAAGAGAGAAAACCAAGCCUCACACAGGCAGUCCACAAAAAAAGGAGUUGGAGACUUCAUGUGGAGAGGGGAACCAACCAUUGAGCAGCCAUGCAAAGCAAUGGCAAAAUACAAAAAUAAGAAAUCCAGCCUGCAACAAGGUCAUGAGGUAGCUAAAGAAAUG